AUUGAUCGCUGGCGGCAUGCUUUACACAUGCAAGUCGAACGGUAACAGGCCUUCGGGUGCUGACGAGUGGCGAACGGGUGAGUAAUGCAUCGGAACGUACCCAGAGGUGGGGGAUAACGCAGCGAAAGCUGUGCUAAUACCGCAUGUGAUCUGAGGAUGAAAGCGGGGGACCGAGCAGCAAUGUUUGGCCUCGCGCCUUUGGAGCGGCCGAUGUCGGAUUAGCUAGUUGGUGGGGUAAAGGCCUACCAAGGCGACGAUCCGUAGCUGGUCUGAGAGGACGACCAGCCACACUGGGACUGAGACACGGCCCAGACUCCUACGGGAGGCAGCAGUGGGGAAUUUUGGACAAUGGGCGCAAGCCUGAUCCAGCAAUGCCGCGUGCGGGAAGAAGGCCUUCGGGUUGUAAACCGCUUUUGGCAGGAACGAAACGGUGUCCGCUAAUACCGGGCGCUAAUGACGGUACCUGCAGAAUAAGCACCGGCUAACUACGUG
This 492-nucleotide ribosomal RNA is filed under the name uncultured bacterium. Its description in RNAcentral is "partial 16S ribosomal RNA". It matches the Rfam family "Bacterial small subunit ribosomal RNA", at positions 30 to 507 of the family's 1533-position model. The record is from RNAcentral.